CCUACGGGUGGCAGCAGUAGGGAAUCUUGGACAAUGGGCGCAAGCCUGAUCCAGCCAUGCCGCGUGAGUGAUGAAGGUCCUCGGACUGUAAAACUCUUUUCUGAGGGAAGAAAUGACGGUUGAGGAAAUGCUUCCGUUUUGACGGUACCUCAGGAAUAAGCAACGGCUAACUCCGUGCCAGCAGCCGCGGUAAUACGGAGGUUGCAAGCGUUGUUCGGAAUGACUGGGCGUAAAGGGAGCGCAGGCGGUUUGAUAAGUCUGGAGUGAAAGCCCGGGGCUCAACCCCGGCGGGUCUUUGGAUACUGUCAAGCUAGAGUACGGAAGAGGAGAGUGGAAUUCCAGGUGUAGCGGUGAAAUGCGUAGAUAUCUGGAGGAACACCGGUGGCGAAAGCGGCUCUCUGGUCCGAUACUGACGCUCAUGCUCGAAAGCGUGGGGAGCAAACGGGAUUAGAUACCCUUGUAGUCG
Molecule: ribosomal RNA, 466 nt
Filed under: uncultured bacterium
Lineage: Bacteria
Description: bacterial SSU rRNA
Rfam family: Bacterial small subunit ribosomal RNA
Source: RNAcentral